GCAAGUUAUGUAAUCAGAUUACUUUUUUAAGUAACUAGUAAUCAGUGUUGGGGAAAGUGACUUUUAGAAGUAAUGCAUUACAAUAUUGCUCCCUAAAAAAAGUAACUUGUUACGUUACUUACAAUUACAAUGAAAUGUAAAACAGCAGUUACUUUGUGUCCAUGUGUUGAGUGACAGCUCUGGUGUUGCCAUGGAGACAGACAUCAGGAGUCAGUGCAGAGUGUUGUGUGUGAA
This is a long non-coding RNA of Carassius carassius (crucian carp), 234 nucleotides long. RefSeq lists it as uncharacterized. Lineage: Eukaryota; Metazoa; Chordata; Actinopteri; Cypriniformes; Cyprinidae. The transcript has 2 exons. The record is from RefSeq and is a predicted model, not a curated record.